RNAcentral lists this ribosomal RNA (482 nucleotides) under uncultured bacterium. Its description in RNAcentral is "partial 16S ribosomal RNA". It matches the Rfam family "Bacterial small subunit ribosomal RNA", at positions 29 to 507 of the family's 1533-position model. The record is from RNAcentral.
AUUGAACGCUGGCGGCAUGCCUUACACAUGCAAGUCGAACGGUAACAGGUCUUCGGAUGCUGACGAGUGGCGAACGGGUGAGUAAUACACCGGAACGUGCCCAGACGUGGGGGAUAACGAGGCGAAAGCUUUGCUAAUACCGCAUACGAUCUAAGGAUGAAAGCAGGGGACUGCAAGGCCCUGUGCGGUUGGAACGGCCGAUGGCAGAUUAGGUAGCUGGUGGGAUAAAAGCUUACCAAGCCGACGAAUUGGAACUGGUCUGAGAGGACGACUACCCAAACUGCAACUGAGACACGGCCCAGACUCCUACGGGAAGCAGCAGUGGGGAAUUUUGGAGAAUGGGCGAAAGACUGAUCCAGCAAUGACGCGUGAAGGAUGGAAGCCUUCAGGUUGUAAACUGCUGUUGUAGGGAACGAAAAGGGUCUGGCUAAUACCUGAGCAACAUGGCGGUACCGUAAGAAAAAGCACCGGCUAAAUACGUG